CCUACGGGUGGCAGCAGUGGGGAAUUUUCCGCAAUGGGCGAAAGCCUGACGGAGCAAUACCGCGUGAGGGAAGACUGCCUAUGGGUUGUAAACCUCUUUUUUCAGGGAGGAACAAAAUGACGUGUACCUGAAGAAUAAGCAUCGGCUAACUCCGUGCCAGCAGCCGCGGUAAGACGGAGGAUGCAAGUGUUAUCCGGAAUCACUGGGCGUAAAGCGUCUGUAGGUGGUUUAAUAAGUCAACUGUUAAAUCUUGAGGCUUAACUUCAAAACCGCAGUCGAAACUAUUAGACUAGAGUAUAGUAGAGGUAAAGGGAAUUUCCAGUGGAGCGGUGAAAUGCGUAGAUAUUGGAAAGAACACCGAUGGCGAAAGCACUUUACUGGGCUAUUACUAACACUCAGAGACGAAAGCUAGGGUAGCAAAUGGGAUUA
This 429-nucleotide ribosomal RNA is filed under the name uncultured bacterium. Its description in RNAcentral is "bacterial SSU rRNA". It matches the Rfam family "Bacterial small subunit ribosomal RNA", at positions 338 to 780 of the family's 1533-position model. The record is from RNAcentral.